RNAcentral lists this ribosomal RNA (461 nucleotides) under uncultured Syntrophaceae bacterium. RNAcentral's name for it is "bacterial SSU rRNA". It matches the Rfam family "Bacterial small subunit ribosomal RNA", at positions 923 to 1382 of the family's 1533-position model. The record is from RNAcentral. Lineage: Bacteria; Pseudomonadati; Thermodesulfobacteriota; Syntrophia; Syntrophales; Syntrophaceae.
GCACAAGCGGUGGAGCAUUGUGGUUUAAUUCGAUGCAACGCGAAGAACCUUACCUGGGCUUGACAUCCCAAGAAUCCCCUGGAAACAGGGGAGUGCCCUUCGGGGAGCUUGGAGACAGGUGCUGCAUGGCUGUCGUCAGCUCGUGUCGUGAGAUGUUGGGUUAAGUCCCGCAACGAGCGCAACCCUUGCCUUUAGUUGCCAUCAUUCAGUUGGGCACUCUAGAGGGACUGCCGGUGUCAAACCGGAGGAAGGUGGGGAUGACGUCAAGUCCUCAUGGCCUUUAUGCCCAGGGCUACACACGUGCUACAAUGGCCGGUACAGACGGACGCAAAGCCGCGAGGCGGAGCAAAUCCGAAAAAGCCGGUCUCAGUUCGGAUUGCAGGCUGCAAUUCGCCUGCAUGAAGUCGGAAUCGCUAGUAAUCGCAGGUCAGCAUACUGCGGUGAAUACGUUCCCGGGCCUU